UCAACCCAGACUUUUAGACUCAUCAAUUGUCAACAUAAACUAUCAAUUGCAUCGAUUUUCAACAAUUUUAGAAAAUUAAACUAAAUCACGUUUAGCGACCCAAAUCGCGAUUACUUAAAACUGAUUGCCCAACACCCAACCCGAUUACUACUGAACCUGACUCUAAUAAUAUAACCCGACAAAAAAAUAACCUGACAUCUCCAUCUACCGUUGUCUUCUUCUCCCUUUAUGAAAUUAGGGUUCAUAGUGAGAUUUAGGGGAAAAUUGAAAUCGUGACAAUGGAGAAGAAUAAGAGUCAAUCCGAACUUGCGAAAUCUGAAGGUUUAUUCUCAAGGCGAACCAGGAGAAUUAAUUUCGGAGAUUCUAUCGCUCAUGUGAAGUUGUGAUGCUGAGAAAGGGGGAAGAUCAUCUCUUAAAGUGGGUUAAAAAAGCUUUGGUUGAAGAGAUUUCUUUGGUUGAAGCAAGACAGAACAAUUGAAGAAGAUAUUAAAGAUAUGAGGAAGACAGAGAAAAGUGAAGAAGAUGUGGGUUGACAGUACAAUGUUGUCUAAAAUUUCAUUACAUGGCUUUGUUGUAAACUUUGGUAACUGUCAAUGGUUGUAGACAAUUCUGCGUUGUGUUGUUUUGAUUACCUUUAGUGUACAAGUGUAAACGGUUUGUGUUGUUUUAAUAACCUUUUUUAUCUCAUUUGUUUUGU
This is a long non-coding RNA of Raphanus sativus (radish), 697 nucleotides long. RefSeq lists it as uncharacterized. The record is from RefSeq and is a predicted model, not a curated record. The transcript has 3 exons. NCBI's taxonomy places the organism in Eukaryota, Viridiplantae, Streptophyta, Magnoliopsida, Brassicales, Brassicaceae.